CAGAAGGAGGCGAUGCGGGGUUGGCCGUGGGACGCGAGGCCGGGCAGCGACGGAAGCGCGGGGAGCCCGAGGCCGGCGGAGCGCGCGGCCUUCCCGACGUCGCCUGCGAUAGGCGAGGCGACGGCGCCCGUUGCUGGGCAGGCGACGGCGCCCGUUGCUGGGCAGGCGACGGUCGGGGCCAUGGAGAUCGAUGCCUUCGGUCAGUGUACGUCUCGCCACCACCACCACUUGCGCUGCGUUAAGCGCGUUCGUCGGAGGCUAAUAACGGCCGCGAGGUUGGUGGGACGGCGUCCUGCGGGAGGUUAGGGAGCGGCCGGGUUUGGGCGCGCAAAGAUAAAGUGGGGAUGCGUGGGAUGGGCGCCACACGAUUGCGUGCGGAAGAACGAUAAGAUGGGGUUUGGGGUGGGUUCUGUAUGGCCUGGAAGUUUCCGUCUAUUGUAUCGGGAGUUUCUGGUGUUUAUCGUCUGAAGACGACCGAUAGGUGUUCAAGGGAGGCCCUCGAGGCUUCAACCAUUAGAUAACGGGGUUAGAGCAUCUAUAACCGGAUAUUUUUAAAGAAAAGCAAUAACAAUCAGAUUACUGCUAGGUUUCUUUCUGUCAGACUAGUCGACCGUUGUAGGAUUAAAAUCACGCCGACCAUGUGAUCUAAUAAGAAGGAGGCUGAGCGUUGGGUAGUUACUUGUCUGCGCUAAUUACGUGAUUCCGGUAACUGACCCCGGUAGCGUAUCUUCCCUGACAUAUUUGUCCUAUGUUAAUAGAUUCAUUUCUUAUCCAAGUAGCAUGACAUUUAUUUUUACGUGGUAGCAAGCAUGGUGCAUGAUAUUUCGUAUCCUCUACACUAAUAUUUGCUUUCAUAUAAAAGGAACUCCUGGUAAUAACAUAUUUUGCGUCAAGAACAUUCUUAUCAUUUUUUUUCAUUGGCUAGAAUUGCAUCCAAGCAAACUAUGGUUUGCCUUCAUCGCAAUAGAAAAAUAUUUUCACUUGUUUCAUAAGCGGCAAUCUCUUGCUUCCAUCGAUUAUAAAAUUGCUUCCAUCCAAAUAAUAAUUUGUGGUGCAAACGGAAUGAUCUUUUCAUACAAAUGAAUUAUUUUUCCUUGCAAAGAAACACGUGGAAGCACAACAUGAAUGAUGAAGCAUUGAACAUAUUAAUCCAGUCUCAACAAAGAUUUAAAAAUCUAUUUUCCAACAAGAGUAAAAUACUAUUACAACACUAUUUUUAUUUCGUCAUGAUCGACAUAACGGCAGGCGCUAGACAGUCUUAUCAUGACAAGAUCCAUGUGCCAUGAGUUGUACAUAUAACCGACAACUUAGAAUAGUGCCUUGUUGUUCUUGCACUCAACUCAUUACAUAUAAUCGGGAAUCUGUAUAACUGAAGCAUUCUGUGAGAAAGAAGGGAGCACACAAGUCAUUGACUCAUACAAAAAUUCACUAGAAGAAGCAAAAUAGUUGUAUAAUAAAAUGCACAAACAGAAGCAGUACUAGUAAUGGUUGAAUCAGAAAGUAAUAGUGAUUGAAGCAUACAUUAAUCUGAUGAUGAUUGAAGAAAAUGUCUAUUCAAUAGAAGUAGCACACUGUUACAAUGGUUGAAGCCAAAAAAAUCAUUACCAUAGAGUCAUUACCAAUUUUCUUUUGCCAGUGAAAGCAAUCUUCUAUCUCAAAAGAAGCAAAAAAUAUCUAUGUGUGGAUGCAUUAUGGUAAGAAGCACAAAAAGAGUAAACUUGAAUCAUAAGUUCAUAACUACGAUUACUUGGAACCUUGAAAAGAUAAAAAAGGAACAAGCUAAAAAUGCCACCUAGGGAGGCAUAUUUGAGUCAUGUACUUACAAAUUUCAAAGAAAUUGGACUAGUCUUUUAGUGAUUAAUAAUUAAAGUUAUAAUAUAGAGGAGAUAUAACACAGAUCUCACGAAAAAAUGUGCUAGGAGUCACUAGUAAUACAGGAAUUAAAAGGCAUCAAAAUACACUACAAGAAAUAUGAUCGAUAAUGACCCACCAUUUUGGUCAAAGAAUCGUCAUUGGUAUCAUGUUACGACCUUUUUUUGACCAAAUUUAGAGGGUCAACUGUUGGUCGUCAAGAACGAACAACCAUGACCUUUUCAGUAUUUUGGUCAAGUAUUCUUUGACCAAAAAACUUAGGUCAUAAAAUCUUUGACCAUUUUUUUGGUCAUUACAUGUGUACCUGAACCACGUAGGAGAUGACAUGGCAUCAACCACGUGGCUAAGCUGAUGUUGUGGCAGAUCACCAAUGACUGAAAAAUAAGGUCACAAUUUUACUAGCCCAAUCCAAAUCGGACACCUAAAUGGGCCAGGCCCAACAAUUAAGAUCAAUAUUUGAUAUUUCAGCCCAUUACUAUUUUUAUCUAGGACCAGGCCUUAUUUUUACACAAUUUGCAUACACUAUGCAUCGUAGAUAAUUCCGACGAAAAAAAAUUAUGUUAAGUAGUCCCGAUCAUUUAAGCAAUAAGCAUCAUUGCAGAAACUUUACAAACAUGCACCACAUAAAAUAGUUCGGCCUUCAACUCCACUACAAAUCCAGUUACAAUGAAGCUUCAUCAUUGUUACAACUCCAUUCCUAGAACCUAGUAACUAUUACUAAAAUGAGCACAUAAAGAGAAUGAAAGGUGCAAUGAAGCUUCAUCUCAGUCAAACAUGUUACAAUGACUAACAGUUAACUGGUCCUACAUUACAUUGUGAAAUGAGCACAAUAUGUGAUUUGACUUGUAACUAUAUUCAUGUGUGUAUACUAAGUGUAGGUGAUACAAUUAAAGCCCCAGCUGCCAUAUCUUCUUUACUGCUCCGGAGGAACGAAGGAACAUGUGUAGCAGUCUCCAUUAUCUUCCCAGGCCAGGCCGAUAAAUUUCUGAGAUGGAGAUAAGGCAAAAAAACUGUUAUCACGGGUCAGGAAUUAUGUUCAGUAUCUCCUGCAAAGCAUCCCAACAGGGUUGAUAAAAUAUAUGUAAAAGUGAUCCUCAAUGUCUAUUUCUCAAACAGAAAGUACUACAGGAUCAAGAUUUAAUUAGACAUGGACAAAACGCUUUAGAAGCCUAUGUUCUUCAUAUGAGAGAACAUCAGAUGCUACUUCCAGCUCUUCAAAAUCACUGAAACUGGGCACAGUAAGAUGAUUUAAGUUGUACUGUUCUGGACUCGUGAGCCAAAGGGACCGAUCAACUCAACUAGACACCACAGUAAACUUGCAUUGUUACCCCUAUAUGGUUUCCUGCAGUUCUUCCACAUGACAUAAUUUUCAGCAUUAUGUUGUUUAAAUGACCCAAUAGCUAUCUAUAUGCAGAGCUCUAAUUUCUUCUUCUGCCAUCUUUUUAACCCAACAUUCUAUGAAGGACCUGAUAUUAAAAUUAAAAUAUUAGCCAAAGAACAGUUUUGUGUUUCUCCCCUUGCCACUCUUGUAUCAUAUAAAGCCUGAACUUCUUGAAGUAUUACGUUUGAUUGUCACAUUUAUACGAGAAAACAACUAAAACAGGUAGUGAUACAACUUUGAUCACGGCAAAAAAAAGUGUAAAACAUCUAAACUUAACUUAGAAACGAUUAGGGAAGCAUGAAAAUUCUGAAUACCUUUGAACUGAAGGAACCAUUUUCUUUGGGGACGCCCUGGAAUAUGCUUUAUGUAUCCUGCACAUUUCAUAGGCAAUGAGUUGAGCAAGCACAGGGAAAAAUAUAUAACUACUUCAAGAAAAUGUCUAGCCAUCUCCUGGUAGUUUUGCAAAGGCGCAAAACCAAAGCAGUGACAUGAUCAAUCAAGCAAGCAAAUGCAAGCAGUGGACUAAGGUUACAUACAGAUAGGACGUGGAUACUCGCUAAACAAACACUUGGCUUAACCCGUGAAGCUAUAAUUUAACUAAUGGAAUGGCAUUAGUAAGCAUCUGGUUUUUGUAGUUUAGGUGGCUCCAUAUAUUCAGUAUUUCACAGACUGCAUUUCAAUACCGCACCUACUAAGCUGAACUUUUUUUAAAAUGUCUACGGGUGGCGACUGCCCGCCUGAACGAUUUCCAUUAAAUUGCUUACACGAUCAAUAAUUUCUUUACAGGGAGUUUUACACAGAGGGGGGUAACCCUAUGGGAAAAACACACAAAGAAAAUAAGCUACAGCAAUGUGGAGAAGUUUUUGACCCAGGCCUGGAGAAUUGUUUUACAAAUGGAUCGGGAGCAGCGGCACCUCCCAUUAUUGAUGGGGUUUGUUGCCGUGUGCUUACAGAGAACUUGAGAAUUGACAGGUAGUAGUCAUUAAUCUCAUCAUAUGAUCUAAUUUCUAAGGAACUAAAUAAACCAGUAUACAAAAUUCAAAAACAGCUACACUAGCAGAAACAUACUAAAGGACCUAAAACUAGAGCAGAUCAAAUGAAUGACCGAACAGAACAGCAUAACAAGUCAGUAAGACACAGCCUUUCUGGAUGCUAGGUUUUGGACGAUACGGAACAUUAUUUGUAAUCGUGGGCACUGUUUUCCUACCAGCUGCCCGACUUGCAAAACCAACGAGGCAAGGGAAGAUGGUUGGCACAGAUCAGGUCCUACCGCUUAUACAAUGGGUUGAAAGCCUUGAUAAGUUUUAGUGGGCUUUGCACUGAACGCGCAUAAGGUCCAAGUAUCAGUGUGAAUCAAACUAUUCUCUAGCACAUAUAAACCUUUAGGAGUAUAUAUUAUUAUAUGUUUCAAAAGGGAUAGAAAACUCCAGGAAUAGUCCUAAAAAAAUUUGCAUUCAAAAUGCAUAGUUGGAUUCACAUUUUGAUUUAUUGUAAUGACUAUGGUAAGUCUGUUACUACAAAUAAGUGUAUAUGAGAAAUUAGAUAGAUGAGCAAAUUGAUACAAGUGAUGUGCAAAAUAUGUCUUCAUUAUUUCAAUACUUAAAUAACUUUAUACCUUUGAAAACUAUAUCUACGGUGCCGUGAUAGUGCUGUGCAAAUGAUUAAAUUAAGAAUUGAUUACCCAGUUGUGCAGUCAUUGCUCUGUUCUUCUAUAAAGUAACCACAAUGAGCGGCAUCCAGAAUCUUGUUCUUUGCUUGAGAUCUGCUGCAACACAUGAACAUCAGUAUUAAACCACAGAAUUAGAACGAUUAAUAAUUGUACAAAUACUGGAAGAUUCUGAUCGGCCGGCAACCUUCACCUGACGACACAGAACAGAACCGAUCCGCCGCUGAUCUCCGGCGUGCAUAACACAUGACAUCCGGACCUCCUCCUUAUGAAAGCUCUUGCGGUUCAUCUGCACAUGUCUGGUAGUCAGACGAGAAGGCGGCGCCUGCUGCGUGCGUGAUGGAGAAUUGGGAUGGAUGUGUUUGUUUCUUAUUCCUGCGAGUCAACGCGUGAGUUACGGGCUUACGGCGAUGGAAACCAGGAUAACUCCUACUACUACGACAAUGCAUAUAUCUCCUACUACUCACUACGGGAAUCAGGUAAUUUGCCGUCUUUGAAGAUCUUUGCCGUCAGCUUUUCAUCGUGGAUGACAGCAAAGACCAUUUUUGCCGUCUAUAAUAAAAAACUGUUGACGUCAAAGAAUGACUGAUGGUAAAGACAUAUUUUGCCGUCUGUAGUAAAAAUUGCUGACGGCAAAGGAAUAUUUUGCUGUCUGUAAUAGAAAUAGAUGACGGCAAAAAUAUUUUGCCGUCUGUGAUAAAAACAGAUGACGGCAAAGACAGAUUUUGUCGUCUGUAAUAGAAACAGAUGACGGCAAAGACAGAUUUUGCCAUCUGUGAUCAAAAGAGAUGACGGCAAAGACAGAUUUUGCCGUCUGUAAUAGAAACAGAUGACGGCAAAGGCAAAUUUUGCCGUCUGUACUAAAAACUGAUGACGGCAAAGAAGAAGCACACCACACGGAUUCCUCUCGUGGAUCGAUGACAUGGCAUCAUCCACACCGCACACACAUUCCCACAGCACCACCAUAUGGAUCCCCACCCCACCAGCCCACCCACCCACAUCCCCACCCCACCUCAUGUCUCCAUCAACCACCCCACCGACCCACCCCACCUCACGUCUUCCCUCACGCACGAAUGAUGUGGAUCUAGAUCGAUCUCUUCCCCCCACCCCACCACGCUCCCUCCACCUCACGUCUACGGCGACCUGGACUCUCGUCGCCGCCACCCCCGCGCCGACCACCCACCACCCGUACCUCCGACGCCCACCGCCCCCUCCCUCUGGUGCCCGACCACCCACCUCUACCACCGACGCACCACCACCCACGCUCCUGAUCAGGUCGCCGGCGGCGGCGCCCCCACCCCUUGCGCCCACCACCCUGGCAGCGGCAAGCGAGGCCGACGGAUGGUGCGGGAGGCCGGCGCUGACAGGCCGGAUUGCUGGUGCGCGGGCUGGUGACUGGCGCACACAGGGAGACAUGGCUGGGGGCGAUGGCAUGCGGGCCGCCUGGCACCUCCCACCUCCGGCGUGCUCGUCACAUCGCCCGCCUCGACGCGUCGCCGGCAUCCGUCUCCUUUGGUCUCCUCUUCCUCACUAUCUCCCUUCUCUCGAUCUGCAGGACUCCUCCUCGGCUGCUCUCCUCUGCAGGCGGCGGACAUGGGUUGACGGAGUGGGCAAGGUCCAAUGGAUCCGGGAUUCCGCGACCAGAUCCAACGGCCGCCGCUGCACUUCCCCACCGGUCGCCCCCACCGGCCGCCGCCACGGGCGAGGGUGGUGGCCAGGUGGGCCAGCGGCUCAAGCGGGCGUUUCGUGCUUGCGAGCAUGGCUCGGGGAGCUGGGUCAGGUGGCCAUGGAUCCUCCUCCUUCCUGCCGGGGCACCUCCCAUCCUUCCUGCCGGGGUACCUCCACUCCUCCGUCCACCUCGUCGGCCCCUUGUGUGCUAGCGGCACAGAACUCGCCUCCCCGGUCGCGCAGAACCCUCCACUUCCGGCGGCGAGUGUGUUAUUGUUCUUCUGUGUGAAAUAAUGAGCGACAAUGGAUGUUGAAAUAUACUAGUAGUAUUUUGUUUCUUGCAUCAGUGAGCGAUGGAUGUAAUGUGUAAAUCUGGCUCUCUCUUGUAAUAUUUGUUCGUUCUUAAUACUAUUGGUUGUGAAAUCUCAAUGGAAGAUUUUGUCUACGCCUUCGACCAUUUACUCAUGCCUCUCUCGUGGAUUGUUAUUUAUAUUUCUUAAGUAAACAAACAAAAUUGCCGUCUAGUAUUAGCAACAGAUGACGGCAAACAUUUUUUUUUGCCGUCUGGCAUUUUGGUCCGGCUGACGGCAAAAAAUUGACGCCGUCCGUUAGUGGGAGGUUCUGUCAGAGUGCUUUUUUUGCCGUCUAUCUUAUAAUAGAUGACGGCAAAGCGUUUGUACUAACGGCAAUAAUUUUGCCGUCUUCCGGAACAAAUGCUGACAGUAAAAAUUUCCUUUGCGGGCACAUGGGCUGACGACAUUGUUUGCCGUCAUGGGCUGACGGCAAAAUUGUUGCCGUCUGUAAUUCUUUCUUUGCCGUAUGUACACUCGUGAUGGCAAAAUGCCCGAUUCCUGUAGUGACUUGAGCAAUGGGCCAGUACUGCAGUCGUAAAUCAUAGGCCUCCGACCAACAAAAAUCAUAGGCCUAAUACAAAGAAAUACUACAUACAUACUUGGGGAGGACGGAGUGGCUAACAAAAAACAAAAGCAAUUAAAUACAUGCACAACAUCGAUCCAGCCUGGACAACAGUCAAUGUAAAAGGAAGGAGUAAUCAACAAUUCAACGAGAUUUUGAGUGGCCUAAUGGAGACAGAGGACAGGGAGAGGGAACAUGGAAAUUACCAGCUUGUUGACGUAGCAUUCUGGGGAGGAGGAGCACUCGGGGCGGGGUUAACAGGCCUGGCACUACUAGCAUGGAGGAACGGAUCUUGGCCUGGCCAACAAUGGAGAAGAGAGGGAGAAAUCGCUGGGAGAGAGCGCCAGAUCUGGCGGUCCCGGGCAAACACGACACUGAGUCCACCCAGAUCUUGGAGAUGCUAAAGGCGGCGGCGACAUCGGUGACAUGCUGCAUCGACCGGGAGGUCUUGUAAGAGAAUUUGGUGAGGAAGAGAUGUUGGAUGUUGGGGACGAGACCAGCCAGAUCUGGCGUUGUCCCAACGGCACAAGCACCGACGCCAUCUUUUGGAGGCACAGGUGGCGGCGUCCUUAAUGACGCGAGCAUCGGAGGUAUCGCAGGCGGCGGCUUCUCCUCGACGGCACGACUAGCGGGUGAUUCCUCCUCUACGAGAUGGUGGGUGUUGGAGCGGUGUUUGGGACGGAGAUCCUGGGGUUUGGCGAUUUGGGGGUGAAUCAGAAGAAUUGGCGGCGCUACACAAAUGGAUAGGAUUACUAAGCUUGUCCACUGGGGAUUUUUUACCAAAAUACCCUUAAUGUGGGGAGGUGUCCUUUUGUGCGACGAGGACAAAUGAGACAAUGCCACUCAAAACUGUGUGAGCGCCAAAAAUUGGUGUGCGUUCGCGGGCAAGCUCGGGGGGUGUUAGCGCUAUGAAAAUUUUGAACUUUUUUUAGUUGAAAUUUUGGCGAACAACGAAAUAUGGGUUUAUACGCAUUCAAAUUGAAAAGAUAAAUCAAAAACUUGUCAAAUAUUUUUGAAACGUUUGGCUAGGUAAAAGCACAUAUGCCGUAUUCCGAGCAAAAAACAAAAGAAUCAAUACUAUAUAAAUUCCACUAUCCAUUGCCAUAUAGUUGCACUUUUGUUUAUUUUUUUUCUCAAAAUAAGACAUAGCUCAUUUCAUCCGGAAACUUUAUACGUGAGUACUAUGAUAGCUAUGUUUGUCGCCAAAAAAAUCAUUCUUUUAUUUAAAUUUUUACCCAUUAUGCUUAAUCGAGUACGCCUACACCCAUAUUCCAAAAAAUCCGCAUCGAAAGUUUCAACAUUAUUAACAAGUAUCUCAACUAAGUCCUUCGCAAAAAGUUUUUCCAAUCUAAAAUAUGUAAUUCAUCUUAUUAUACAUUGUCGAAAAUGUUUAAAAAAAAUAUUGAUAUACAUUUUACCAAACUUUAUAAAAAUAUGAAAUAUUAGAUUGAAUCAAUAUCAUAUGACUCGUUCAGAUCUAAAUUACCAUCGAGUCGUUGGGACCUUUUAGCAAGUCUCACAUAAAAGGUGGGUUAGCAGGUCAAUAGGUUAGACGGUCCCACAUUUAAAAUUUGUUAGUGUAUCCACUUGGAUCAUCAAGUCAAUAUGUCGGUCCCGUUAUUCACGUAGUUCCAGUCAGCUCCAUUCAUGUAUAUGAACAUAUCAAUUGGUCAUCUGAACUUCAAAUAAAGGUAUGCACAAUGGUACUUAUUUUAAUGACCAUUUCAGAUGAUUGAGUAUUGACCUUUUUGACAUAGAUGGUCGUUACAUUAUAGGGUUUGAACAUAGAAAAACUCUCCCUAGCCAUUUUGUGAAUUUUGGUCAUAGAUUUAUGACCAAUUUGACCACCGUCAAUUUUUUUGUCAUGAAUGAGUGUUUUCCUUGUAGUGAUAGGAUGAUACAAACGCUAUCAGACAAGGAUGGGUGGGGAAUCCCGUGGAACUACACUCGUGUCGGCCUCAUUCCCCAACCGAGAUGAUGCUUCGGCAAGGUGGAUCACAGGCCAAAACUACAGCUGAAGGGUGAUACGUCUCCAACGUAUCUAUAAUUUUUUAUGGUUCCAUGCUAUUAUCUUGUCAAACUUUGGAUGUUUUGUAUGCCUUUUAUAUCAUUUUUGGGACUAACUUAUUAACUCAGUGCCAAGUGCCAGUUCCUGUUUUUUCCAUGUUUUUGACCCUUUUCAGAGGAGGAUUUUAAACGGUGUCCAAACGGAAUAAAACUUCCGAAAAGAUUUUUUCCGGAAUAGAAGAUAUGCACGGGACUUGAGAACCAAGGCAGAGGCCACCAGGGGACUCCACAAGCCCCCUAGGAGAGGCCAGGGGGGCCCGCGCCUAGCAGGCUUGUGGGCCCCCUGUGGCUCGUCUGCCCUACCUCUUCCGCCUAAAAAUUCUUGAAAAAUCCAAAACUGUGCGAGAGAUCCACGAAAAUACUUUUCCGCCGCCGCAAGCUUCUGUCUCCGCAAGAUCCCAUCUGGGACACGUUCUGGUGCCCUGCCGGAGGGGGGAUUCGGAUAUGGAGGGCUUCUUCAUCAACACCAUGACCUCUCCGAUGAUGCGUGAGUAGUUCACCAUAGACCUUCGGGUCCAUAGCUAGUAGCUAGAUGGCUUCUUCUCUCUCUUGGAUCUUCAAUACAAAGUUCUCCAUGAUCUUCAUGGAGAUCUAUCCGAUGUAAUAUUCUUUUGCGGUGUGUUUGUCGAUAUCCGAUGAAUUGUGAAUUUAUGAUCAAAUUAUCUAUGAAUCUUAUUUGAGUUUCUUCUGAUCUCUUAUAGGCAUGAUUUCAUAUCCUUGUAAUUCUCUUCGAUUUGUGGGUUUUGUUUGGCCAACCUGAUCUAUGAUUCUUGCAAUGGGAGAAGUGCUUGGUUUUGGGUUCAUACCGUGCGGUGACCUCACCCAGUGACAGAAGGGGUAGCGAGGCACGCAUCGUGUUGUUUCCAUCAAGGGUAAAAAGAUGGAGUUUACAUCAUUGGUUUGAGUUUAUCCCUCUACAUCAUGUCAUCUUGCCUAAGGCGUUACUCUGUUCAUCAUGAACUCGAUACACUAGAUGCAUGCUGGAUAGCGGUCGAUGUGUGGAGUAAUAGUAGUAGAUGCAGAAAGUAUCGGUCUACUUGUCUGGGAUGUGAUGCCUAUAUGUAUGAUCAUUGCCUUAGAUAUCAUCAUGACUUUGCGAGGUUCUAUCAAUUGCUCGACAGUAAUUUGUUCACCCAUCGUAAUAUUUGCUAUUUUGAGAGAAGCCUCUAGUGAACACUAUGGCCCCCGGGUCUACUUCACACCAUAUUUUCAGCCUUGCACUUUUACUUGGUUGCACUUUCCGCCUUCAGAUCUCACUUUGCAAUCAAUCUUGAAGGGAUUGAUAACCCCUUUAUAGCAUUGGGUGCAAGCUCGUUUGUGUUUGCGCAGGUACUCUGGACACUUGGCUCGAUUCUCCUACUGGAUUAAUACCUUGGUUCUCAAACUGAGGGAAAUACUUACUGCUCCUGUGCUGCAUCACCCUUUCCUAUUCAAGGGAAAAACCAAUGCAAGCUCAAGAGGUAGCAAAGGGCAGGGCGAUCCCGGUGGAGUUAAGCACGAUGGUGAGGAAAGUUACAACCUUGCCGGUAAAAAACAGUACCUACCAACCCCGUGUGUCGCCGGAUGGCAUGACACACUUGCCAGGUAGAGCGGACGCUGAAGAUGGGCAGGUCAGGAACUUGUGUAGUGGGAGAGAGCAGGGGCGGAUACAGCCUACAGGCAUGGCAAGCUCCGCCCUGAGUAUGGACGGGAAGUAGAGAUGGGAAGAGCUGAUUUGGGGUGAUUAAUUCGGGGCGAGAUUACGGGUGUGGAGCAAAAGACCGGGUUGUUUGUGGGCUUCUCGCGCAUGACUCGAGCCUCUCAGCCAUGGGAUCAAAUUAGGAAUAGACGACAUGCAACUUCUCUGACGAAUGCUAUUGCAUCAAACGUUUGUAGGUAAGUGUUUCCCUUUCUUAAAAUCUCCUUAAACGUUCACACAGAUCGCUCGAUCACAAAAAAUCGACGCACACGGUCCUUUCGAACCGGCCUCAAACGUCCGUGCUGACCGGCACCCCCAUUUCCAGCCUAAAUAUGGGGCGGAAAUGGGGGCGUCAGGGCACGCUCGCCACGUCAGACCCGACAUCCCGACCCAAUCUUAAAUUGCACCAGUUCCCACAAACCCUUCCUCCUCUUCCAGCCAUCUUCCAACAUUUCCCGCGUUCGACCGCUCGCCGUCCGGCACCCUUGCCCCACAUCCUCACCACCCACCCCGAUCAGCCGCCGUGAUGUUUUCCACCCCGUCCCCGACCACCGCGACGGAGACGCAGUCCGCCUCGUCCGUCGGCGGCUCUUCCUCCGCUUUGUCUUACAAGCCGGAGAACAUCACCUGUGAGAUGCGCCGUCGCCGGUAGCUACAGAGGGAGACAGAGUUGGAGGCACAGGUACAUGCAGGCGUCGUCGAGGAGAUGUCUCCUCUGACACGCCGGGCUCCCCGCACCCCAUCCAUGCAAGCCCCGACGCGGAUUGUGCUGUCUGGCACCGUCGAGAUCAAGGAGGGGGAUGAGAUGGCCGGCUGGACCCUUCAGGAGAGCUUCCCCGCCAUGCAACAGUCGUAAGUCCAUGAGCGUGAGUCCCCGCAGCUCGUUCAGGAGCGUGUAAGAACGGGCAACCCCACCGUCCGGGUUGCACUUGACAUGUUCGACGAAAUGUCUCAACAAGGCCGGGUAAGUUUGCUCUUGUCUGAUCUAAUGAUUAAUGUUUCGUAUAGUUCACUAGUUUGCACAAGAUGAUUUCUUGCAAACCAUGAACGUGUAGGACAUUGUUGGCAAGUAUGAUCAAUGAGAAUGAAGAUCCGGCCCAUGUGAAAUACGAAAUGGAGGAGACGUGCACAUUUGUAUUAGAUGAUCGACAUGCAUGACUUUGUAUGGAUUUGAGAGUCCGGAUAUGAGGUAUGUUGAUGCACGGAUUGUAAUAUGAGGGGCCGUCUGGAUGCGUCCGCAGACGUAUCCAUGCGCGUACGCGGACGUAUAUAGUGUCGGAUUUGACCAGUGUGACUGUAGAUGCUUUUAGGACGACUCCAACGGAGUAAAUUACAUGAAAUCAUAACUUUUAAGGCAAGGUUUGCGAAAAACACUAUGUUACAAUUUAUUUUCUUAGAAAACAACACGUGCGUAAUGGUUUUGUAAAAACCACUGAUCGACUGAUCUGACUGUGUUAAGUGAGUUUUUGACAGGUGUGGCCUUUUUUUCCUACAUGGCGCAACUUUUUGUGCCAGAUGGGUUUAAAUCUAAAAUUAUAAACUAGACCCUAUAAUUUUAGAUAGACACCCCUAUAUCAAAAAUGAACCUACUUUUCGUUCUGAAGCAGGUCGGCGACACGUUGCCCGACCUAUCGGCUGCAGUGGCUGCAGAACGCCGUCGCUGGCAUCAGCCUCGAUCUGGACGGUUUUUGGUCGCUCGCCAGCGUUUCGUAGCCACGGCCGCAAGCAAGUCUCUCGAGCUCGUCCCGGCCAUGGAGGCGUUCCAGCGGUGGUUCGAGGACUCCACUUCCGUCGUGCUCCCUUAUGUGCUGGCCAUCGCCGCGGUCGUCGGAGCGUCGAGGAACGGCAGGCUGCCCCUGCUCUUCCGGUCGUCGUCCUCACGCUAUGGCCCCAUGCGCUCACCACAUAGAGUUGGCCAGGGCAUUCCCGCCGGGUCUGGUGCCGGGCGGGGAUGGUGGAGGCCGAUGUGGCCGGAUCCGGUUGAGGGCACGGCGAUGGGGGCCGGGAAGGGAGGGACAAUGGACGCCGGCUCCGUCAAGACCAAGACCCACCGGGGCAUGGCGGAAGGCAGCUCCUUGGACAGGCAGGGAGGAAGGGGAGGGGGACAGGGCACGGGCGGCAUCCUCUGCUCCACCCUCGGUGCAGUAACGACGAAGGCGGGCCUCUGGCUCGGCCGGGUUCGGGAGGGGCGAUGACGGUCGGCGUCGGGAUGGGCCUGGGAAGCAGGGAGAGAAAUUUGGGGGGCUUUUCGCAUUAAACCUAAACUAUGUCAUGUAAGCCAUAUCGGUCGAUCCGUGAUUUUGCAAAAUCAUUUCCUAAGACAUGGUGUUUUCUAUAAAAAACAUGUAAUGUGGUGUUUUUCGCAAAUCUAACCUUCAAGGUGACGGUUUUAUGCAACUUACUCCAACAUGGUGGUGCGAAUGGCCCAUGUGUCCGUCUACGUUGGAACGAACGAAAACGUCAGCCCAACGCAAUGAUCCAAACCCAAUUUACAUCCGUGUGGACAUUUGCGGAUCAUAUUUACACCGAUUUGCCAUACAGACAUGAGACAUACGUUUUGCGUGUCCGCUCACCGUCUGCCUUAGACCCGCGUGUCGUCCGUCUAACUACCCUACGUGGCCAGAGUGAAUGUGUCCACCUACUUUGGACCCGCAUGGCAGUGUGUGGAAGCUUCCGGAGUUGUCAUCCUUUUUAAAUGCAACCAUGGAGUGAGGGGGGCAGCUUCAUCCACUCCUCCUGGUCCAGAUAUGGCCUUCCUUGCUUCCUUUUCGCCGACAGAAAAACCCUAGCUAGCUUGCACGCUGCCAUGGGUUUCUUCAGCGGCAAACACAAGGCCAAGGCCAAGCUCGACAUCGGCACUGGCACACCUUGCACGCCGCUGCCGGAUGUGUGAGCGAUGGUCCCAUAAGCAGGGAGGGGCCGCCGUCCACGCGACCGGCUCUACAUUCUAUCACAUCGCGCGUGGUACCACAUCCCGGUCUAUAAUUUUGUUAACUUUAUGUUUAAAUUCUUUAUACAUUUCAAAUUUUAGUUUAUUUGUGUCCAUGAGAAAAUUGUGUCAGUUACCGUUGGGUGCAUCGGUUGACGUAAACAAAAAAGCGAACACAACAGUCCGCUCGGUGGACCCAAAUAGACAAAAAGGAAAAAAACACGGUUGUUUGCGUCGCCACAUGGAGUUGCCCUUAUAGUCCGCAGCUGAUAAAACUUCAACAUUAUCAGGAGCGUCCUGUAACUAUCCAUCGGUUAGGCAGUCCUUUAUCAAAUGUUUAGUUGUGAAGCAACUUUUGAUGGAUGGAUAGGAGGAAAGUGGUAUCCACGACUCAUCAGAUUCAAAUCUUGGUGCUCGUAUUUAUCCUGAAUUUAUUUUAGGAUUCCCGGCGAUACACAUUUAAUGGAAGGAUACGUUCCCGUUUAUUACGAGGUGUCUACAGUGACUUAGUAAAAUAUCAAGAUAACAUGUCCGCUCAGUGUCUCGAAAGUCUUCAUAGGGUUAGGGUGUGCGUUCAUAGGGGUGAGUGUAUAUGCAUAUAUAUGAGUGUUUGCAUUUAUACUGUGUUAAAAAAUGUUAGCUAAGAAAUCCACAACUCUAUUUUGAAUACAAAUAAUCUUUCACAAAUGAUAAGUGCUACACGUAUGACACGAAACAACAUGGCCCAAACACCGUUAUCACCAUCUAUUUUGUCACAUCAAACAAAUAACUUUAGUGGAAUCUUUUUGUUUUUUGGAUUUAAAAUUGUUUUAUCUUUUAAAUAAAAAUAUGACUAAAAACCUAUUUUGAUCAUUAAAUCUUCCUCGAUCGGAUCUUUAAACUAGAUCCCCUAUUGGUAUGUUUCGACGACUUUUCUAGGCCAAAAGUUGUGAUGAUGUUUACAUCGAAGUUGGCAUAGAGUUUACAGUAAAGUUCUCAUGAUAUGUUUCAUCUAUUUUUUUCUUCUAGGUUUCAAGCUACCAUUUUAUUUUUAACUACUUUUCAUGACAAAUUUUAUAAAUUGAUCAUCUGAAAUUUUAGUAAUUAACCAUAGCAAAUUUAAUUCAUGGAUCAUGGCAAUUUUCUGUAAUGCAUCAAGACAAAUUUAGUUUAUAGAUCAUGCUAAUUUUAGUUUAUAGAUCAUGGAAAUGGUAGUAUUUUGAAUAUGGAAAUCCUAGUUUUUGUACAAUGAAAAUUAUUUUUUGUAGGAACCAUGGCAAAUUUUAGUGCACAUAUCAUGACAAAUUUAACUAAUUCACCAUGUCAAUUUUAGUUUAUGGUACAUGGCAAAUUUGAGUCAUUGACCAUGCACUUUUAAAGUAAUUGACGAUAGAUUUAUUUUUAAUUAUGAAGUAUGUCAAAAUUAUUUCAUGAAUCAUGGCAAAUUUUAGUAAUUCACCAUGGCAAGUUUAGUUUCAUAAUUGCCCUUUUUACAUAGGUCAAAUUUUAUUUUAAACGUAGAAGAAAAGGUGGUUGAUACAUAUAUGACACCUUCAGUGUAAACAUCAUCGCAAAUUAUGUGUAAUAGACAUAAUAAUUUUUAAAUCAAAAGGCAUCGAAAUAUAUUAAUAUGAGAUCUAUUUUUAAAGAUAUCGUUGCGACGGAUUUAAUUACAAAAACAGUUUUGCAAAUGGAUUUUUAUUUAAGAGACAAAACAUUUUAAAAACUAUAAACCAAAAAGAUUUCUGAUAACAUCAUUGUUUUGUCCCUCUUUGCAUGCAAGCACGAAAGAAUUUUUUUUGCUCCCAUGACGUAAUGAAUGGUUGAAAGGACGUUCACCCAACCUCCUGCGGCCCACUAAUACAUACCAAAUGUAUUUAUAUUUUCUGCUUGUUCCAUGAUCUUUUGGGUGACAUUGUUAUAAGUUUUGCUAUACUUUUAUAUCAUUUUACACAUAUUUGGACUAACCUACUAACUCAGUGCACCCAGUGCCAGUUUCUGUCUCCUGAUGUCUAUUUUGCAGGGGCUCUUACCCAAUUUUCUGAAGCCCGAAAAAUUCCAGGGAAAUAUAUAAAAAAUCAGCGAAACAGAAGCUUCCGGAUCACCGAAGAUGGGCCACAGGGGGGCAGGGGCUGCCCACGCGACCUGCUGGCGGCCAGGCCCUAGGCCGCGCCAGGAGGUCGCCUGGGUGGGUCCCACCUUCUUCGGUGUCCUCCUUUGGCCUAUAUUUAGAGUCCCGAGAGGAAACCCUUCCACAACUUCCAGAAUCACGAAUUUCUCCAUCGUUCCGCCGCGCAGUGCUUCCGAGAUCGGGAGCAUUAGGAGACCUCUUCCCGGCACCCUAUCGGAGGAAGGAUUGACCUCCGGGAGCUUCUUCACCGCCAUGGACGCUUCCCGGACGUGCCGUGAGUAGACCUCCUUGGACCAUGGGUCCAUUACCAGUAGCUAUGUGAUGUCUUCUCUCCAAUCUUGUGCUUCAAUGGUUAGUCCUUGUGAGCUGCCCUACAUGAUCAAUGCAUCUAUGUAAUUCUCUUGCUAUUGCUAUGCUCGGUUUGAUGGGAUCCGAUGGAUUAUUAGAUUACGUUCAUAUUGUUAUGAGUUAUAUAUUUGAUUAUCCUUUUAUAUCAUGUUCCUUAGUGAUUCAUUCAUGUUCUCCGUUGCUAUUUGUUGCUUUGGCCGAGUAGUAGAUUGUAACUCCAAGAGGGAGCGUUAUGCAGGAUUGUGGGUUCAUGCCCCUCGAUGUCUAGCUUGAGUGACCGAAACAUGAGACUAGGGGAUGUGCUGCUGCCACCAGGGAGAAAACAAUGGUGCUUCUGACCACGGUUGCAAGGAUUGUUUACCUUACACAUAGUUCGUUAAUGGAGUUGUUUGUUGCUUUGAGUUUACACUUUGGGUGGGGCUCACAACUUAAUACCGGAGAGAUGUUCUGGAUAGAUAUCUCAAGGUGGAUGAUUAGUAAGUAGAUGCUGAUGAACAAACGGUCUACUUGUCUUGGCAUACAGCCCAUUACUAUUGAACCUCUAACUAUCAAGUAGCAUAAUUAGCAUUGUGGUGCGUUCAUAAUUAUGUCAAUUGCCCAACUGUGAUUUGUUUACCCAAGCAUAGUUGUUUAUCGUCUUUUGGGAGAGAGACAUCACUAGUGAACAUCAUGGGACUCCGAUACAUAUCACCAUCAUUGUUUACACCUCUAUCAUUUACCGCUUUCAUUUACUCUUUCAUUGCUAUCACUAUUACUUUCCCACUUGUGUUUUGAUCCUUUGCAAACUACAAGGCCGGAGAGAUUGACAACCUCUCUGUACGCGUUGCGAGCAAUGUUAUUUGUUGUGUGUGUAGGUCCACGUCUUCUGCUAGCGCCAGGGUGUAAGACACCUACUUGUUGAUCCUAGGAGUCCUCCUGGUUCGAUAAACCUUACAGUUCCCGUGUGAGGGAAAACUUGUUGCUGACUACAUCUCAACCUUCCACUUGGGGUAACCAACGGGGUGCGAGAAGUAUAUACAUCAUCUCACCAUCAAGAAAAGUUUUCUGGCACUGUUACCGGGGACUCCAGUCUUCAAGGUAGGGGAGUUGCAUGCUAUCCUUUACCUUUGCUUUUUAGUCUUGUUAGUUUGCUUUCUAGUUUUUGCUUUAGAGUCUUAUACCAAAAACCACAAAAAAAUAGUUGCUUUGUUCUUGCUUGUUGCCGCUGCUAUGGUGAUACGUCCAUUUUGCANNNNNNNNNNNNNNNNNNNNNNNNNNNNNNNNNNNNNNNNNNNNNNNNNNNNNNNNNNNNNNNNNNNNNNNNNNNNNNNNNNNNNNNNNNNNNNNNNNNNNNNNNNNNNNNNNNNNNNNNNNNNNNNNNNNNNNNNNNNNNNNNNNNNNNNNNNNNNNNNNNNNNNNNNNNNNNNNNNNNNNNNNNNNNNNNNNNNNNNNNNNNNNNNNNNNNNNNNNNNNNNNNNNNNNNNNNNNNNNNNNNNNNNNNNNNNNNNNNNNNNNNNNNNNNNNNNNNNNNNNNNNNNNNNNNNNNNNNNNNNNNNNNNNNNNNNNNNNNNNNNNNNNNNNNNNNNNNNNNNNNNNNNNNNNNNNNNNNNNNNNNNNNNNNNNNNNNNNNNNNNNNNNNNNNNNNNNNNNNNNNNNNNNNNNNNNNNNNNNNNNNNNNNNNNNNNNCCUUUUCUCUCUUAUUUUCCAAGGUUUAUUUGAAGAGGGAGAAUACCGACAGCUAGAAUUCUGGACUGGAAAAGGAGCAAGUGUGAGUCCUCUAUUCUACGCAACUCCAAAUGCCCUGAAAAUCAGCGUGGAAUUUUUUGGGAUUAUAUAAAAAAUAUUGGGCAAAAGAAGUACCAGAGGGGAGCUGCUAGGGGCCCACAAGCCUGGUAGACGCGACCUGCCCCCUGGCCGCGGCUACAGGGCUUGUGGGCACCCUGGUGGCCCACUGGCCCCCCUCUUCUGCUAUAUGAAGGGUUUCGUCCGGAAAAAAUCGAGGAGGAGCUAUUUCAUGGAUUCUCCGCCGCCACGAGGUGGAACUUGAGCAUAACCAAUCUAGAGCUCCGACAGGACGAUCCUGCCGGGGAAACUUCCCUCCCGGAGGGGGAAAUCAUCGCCAUCGUCAUCACCAGAACUCCUCUCGUCGGAGGGGAUUCAUCUCCAUCAACAUCUUCAUCAGCACCAUCUCCUCUACAAACCCUAGUUCAUCUCUUGUAACUAAUCUCCGUCUCGCGACUUCGAUUGGUACUUGUAAGGUUGCUAGAAGUGUUGAUUACUCUUUGUAGUUGAUGCUAGUUGGAUUACUUGGUGGAAGAGUUUAUGUUCAGAUCCUUNNNNNNNNNNNNNNNNNNNNNNNNNNNNNNNNNNNNNNNNNNNNNNNNNNNNNNNNNNNNNNNNNNNNNNNNNNNNNNNNNNNNNNNNNNNNNNNNNNNNNNNNNNNNNNNNNNNNNNNNNNNNNNNNNNNNNNNNNNNNNNNNNNNNNNNNNNNNNNNNNNNNNNNNNNNNNNNNNNNNNNNNNNNNNNNNNNNNNNNNNNNNNNNNNNNNNNNNNNNNNNNNNNNNNNNNNNNNNNNNNNNNNNNNNNNNNNNNNNNNNNNNNNNNNNNNNNNNNNNNNNNNNNNNNNNNNNNNNNNNNNNNNNNNNNNNNNNNNNNNNNNNNNNNNNNNNNNNNNNNNGUUUAUGUUCAGAUCCUUGAUGCUACUCAUUACACCUCUGAUCAUUAUUAUGAUUAUGCUUUGUGAGUAGUUACUUUUGUUCCUGAGGACAUCGGAUAAGUCAUGCUAAUAGUAGUCAUGUGAAUUUGGUAUUCGUUCGGUAUUUUGAUAUGUUGUAUGUUGUUUUUCCUCUAGUGGUGUUAUGUGAACGUCGACUACAUAACACUUCACCAUUAUUUGGGCCUAGAGAAAGGCAUUGGAGAGUAGUAAGUAGAUGAUGGGUUGCUAGAGUGACAGAAGUUUAAACCCCAGUCUAUGCGUUGCUUCGUAAGGGGCUGAUUUGGAUCCACUAGUUUAAUGCUAUGGUUAGACGUUGUCUUAAUUCUUCUUUCGUAGUUGCGGAUGCUUGCGAGAGGGGUUUAUCAUACGUGGGAUGCUUAUCCAAGUAAGGGCAGUACCCAAGCGCCGGUCCACCCACAUAUCAAACUAUCAAAGUAACGAACGCGAAUCAUAUGAACAUGAUGAAAACUAGCAUGACAGAAAUUCCCGUGUGUCCUCGGGAGUGUUUUUCCUCCUAUAAGACUUUGUUCACGCUUGUCCCUUGCUACAAAAGGGAUUGGGCCACUUUGAUGCACCGUUGCUAUUACUUGUUACUUGUUACUUUUCACCCGCUACGUUUCACCUCACUACACCAUCACUUGUUACCGCUACUUUCAGUGCUUGCAGUUAUUACCUUGCUGAAAACCGUUUAUCAAAGCCUUCUGCUCCUCGUUGGGUUCGACACUCUUACUUAUCUAAAGGACUACGAUUGAUCCCCUAUAGUUGUGGGUCAUCAAGACUCUUUUCUGGCGCCAUUGCCGGGGAAUGAAGCGCCUUUGGUAAGUGGAAUUUGGUAAGGAAACAUUUAUAUACUGUGCUGAAAUUUAUUGUCACUUAUCACUAUGGAAACUGUUCCUUUGAGGAAUUUGUUCGGGGUAUCUUUACCACGAAAGGAAGCACAAGGACUUGCUACUCAACCUAAGGUACCUACUGAAAAUAUCUUUUAUGAAAUUCCUUCGGGUAUGAUUGAGAAACUGCUGGCUAAUCCUUUUACAGGAGAUGGAUCAUCACAUCGAGACUUGCAUCUAAUCUAUGUAGAUGAACUUUGUGGUUUAUUUAAGCUUGCAGGUUUGCCCGAGGAUGAGGUAAAGAAGAAAGUCUUUCUUUUAUCUUUGAAGGAUAAGGCGUUGACAUGGUAUAGGCUAUGUGAUGAUACUGGAUCAUGGGACUACAAUCAGUUGAAAUUGGAAUUUCAUCAAAAGUUUUAUCCUAUGCAUUUAGUACAUCGUGAUCGGAAUUGUAUUUAUAACUUUUGGCCUCGUGACAGGGAAAUCAUAGCUCAAUCUUGGGGGAGGCUUAUAUCAAUGCUAUAUUCAUGCCCCAAUCAUGAGCUCUCGAGAGAAAUUAUCACUCAAAACUUUUAUGCUCGGCUUUCUCAUGAAGAUCGUACCAUGCUUGACACUUCUUGUAUCGGUUCUUUUAUGAAGAAGGAUAUUGACCACAAGUGGAAUUUAUUGGAAAGAAUCAAACGUAACUCUGAAGAUUGGGAGCUUGAAGAAGGUAAGGAGCCAGGUACGAAUUUCCAGUUUGAUUGCUUUAAAUCUUUUGUUGAAACAAACACUUCUAGAGAUUUUAGCGCUAAGUAUGGACUUGACUCUGAGAUAGUAGCUUCUCUAUGUGAAUCUUUUGCUGCUCAUAUUGAUCCUCCCAAAGAGAAGUGGUUUAAGUAUCAUCCUCCUGUAGAAGUCAACAUAGUUAAACCCAAUCUAGUUGAAGAGAAAGUCAUUGCCUAUAAUGAUCCUAUUGUUCCUUGUGCCUACACUGAGAAACCACCUUACCCUGCUAGGAAAAAGGAUUAUUCUAAAGCUCCAACUGUGAUACGUAGGGGUUACAUUAGACCACUUGCACCCCCUGAGGAAAUUAGAGUUGAACCUAAUGUUGAUAUUAUCAAAGAUCUCUUAGCCGAAUACAUAGACGGACAUGUUAUCAAAUUCUGUGAGGACUCCUCUAGAAUUGCUAAACCUCACGCAAAAGACAAAUACGGACCUGUAGUUGGCCUGCCCAUUGUUCCUGUCAAGAUAGGAAAUCACUGUUAUCAUGGUUUAUGUGAUAUGGGUGCUAGUGUUAGUGCAAUACACCGGUCCCUAUAUGAUGAAAUCAAAGAUGAGAUUGCACCUGCUGAGUUAGAACCCAUUGAUGUCACUAUUUCGCUAGCUAAUAGAGACACUAUCUGCCGCGUGGGAAUUGUGAGAGAUGUAGAAGUCCUGUGUGGUAAGACGAAGUAUCUUACUGAUUUCCUCGUCCUUUCUACUGCACAAGGUAGCUUUUGUCCUAUCAUAUUUGGUAGACCCUUUCUCAACACUGUCAAUGCUCAUAUUGAUUGCACUAAACAGACUGUCACUGUUAGUUUCGAGGGUGUGUCUCAUGAAUUUAACUUCUCCAAGUUUGGAAGACAACCCCAUGAAAAAGAGUCGUCUCGUAGGGAUGAAAUCAUUGCUCUUACCUCUAUUGCCGUGCCUCCUACGGAUCCUUUAGAGCAAUAUCUGCUUGAGCAUGAAAAUGAUAUGCAUAUGGAUGAAAGAGAUGAGAUAGAUAAAAUUGUUUUAGAACAAUAUUCUAUUCUUAAGAAUAAUCUGCCUGUUGAAAUGCUUGGGGAUCCUCCCCCACCAAAGGGUGAUCCUGUGUUCGAGCUAAAACAGUUACGAGAUACACUUAAGUAUGCCCAUCUUGAUGAGAAGGAGAUAUAUCCUAUUAUAAUUAGUGCUCACCUCUCGAAUCACGAAGAGAAGAAGUUAUUAAAAACUUUGAGGAAGCACCGUGCUGCUAUUGGAUAUACUCUUGAUGAUCUUAAGGGUAUUAGUCCCACUCUAUGUCAGCACAAGAUUAAAACCGAUCCUAAUUCUAAGCCAGUCACUGAUCAUCAACGGAGGUUAAAUCCUAGGAUGAAAGAGGUCGUGAGAAAAGAAAUAUUAAAGCUUCUGGAAGCAGGAAUCAUUUAUCCUGUUGCUCAUAGUGAUUGGGUAAGUCCAGUACAUUGCGUACCUAAGAAGGGAGGUAUCACCGUCGUUCCUAAUGAUAAGAAUGAACUAAUCCCAUAGAGGAUUAUUAUUGGCUAUAGGAUGGUGAUAGACUUCCGGAAACUGAAUAAGGCAAACAUGAAAGACCAUUAUCCUUUGCCGUUUAUCGACCAAAUGCUAGAAAGGCUAUGUAAACACACACACUUCUGCUUUCUAGACAGUUAUUCAGGUUUCUCGCAAAUACGUGUUGCACAAUCUGAUCAGGAGAAAACCACUUUCACCUGCCGCUUCGGUACCUUUGCUUAUAGACGUAUGCCUUUUGGCUUAUGCAAUGCACCUGCCACUUUUCAAAGAUGUAUGAUGGCAAUAUUCUCUGACUUUUGUGAAAAGAUUGUUGAGGUUUUCAUGGAUGAUUUCUCCGUUUACGGUUCUUCCUUUGACGAUUGCCUCAGCAACCUUGAUCGAGUCUUACAGAGAUGCAAAGGUACCAACCUCGUCUUGAACUGGGAGAAGUGCCACUUCAUGGUUAAUGAAGGCAUCGUCUUAGGACACAAAAUCUCUGAGAAAGGCAUUGAAGUUGAUAAGGCUAAGGUUGAUGCAAUUGAGAAAAUGCCUUGCCCCAUAGAUAUCAGAGGUAUACGAAGUUUCCUAGGUCAUGCUGGUUUCUAUAGAAGGUUCAUUAAAGACUUCUCUAAGAUUUCUAGGCCUCUUACCAACCUCUUGCAGAAGGAUGUUCCUUUUGUUUUUGAUGAGGAUUGUGAGGAAGCUUUCGAAAUACUUAAGAAGGCCUUGAUAACUGCACCUAUUGUUCAACCACCUGAUUGGAACUUGCCCUUUGAAAUCAUGUGCAAUGCUAGUGAUUAUGUUGUUGGUGUUGUUCUAGGACAAAGAGUUGACAAGAAGUUGAAUGUCAUUCACUACGCUAGUAAAACUCUAGACAGUGCCCAAAGAAACUAUGCCACUACGGAGAAGGAAUUUUUAGCAGUCGUGUUUGCAUGUGAAAAGUGCAGAUCUUAUAUAGUUGACUCCAAAGUCAUUAUUCACUCUGAUCAUGCUUCUAUUAAGUAUCUUAUGGAGAAGAAGGACGCUAAGCCUAUGCUAAUCAGAUGGGUUCUCCUGCUACAGGAAUUUGAUUUGCACGUUGUUGACCGAAAGGGUGCUGAUAACCCUGUAGCACAUAACUUGUCCAGGCUAGAGAAUGUCCUUGAUGACCCAUGACCUAUUGAUGACAGCUUUCCCGAUGAGCAACUGAAUGUCAUCCGCACUUCACAUAGUGCACCGUGGUAUGCUGAUUACGCAAACUAUAUCGUAGCCAAAUACAUACCACCCAGUUUCACCUACCAGCAAAAUAAGAAAUUCUUCUUUGAUUUGAGACACUACUUUUGGGAUGAUCCUCACCUUUAUAAGGAACGAGUAGAUGGUGUUAUUAGACGUUGUGUGCCUGAACAUGAACAGGGACAAAUCCUGCAGAAGUGUCAUUCCGAAGCCUACAGAGGACACCAUGCUGGAGAUAGAACUGCUCAUAAGGUAUUGCAAUCAGGUUUCUAUUGGCCCACUCUCUUCAAGGAUGCUCGUAAGUUUGUCUUGCCUUGUGACGAAUGUCAAAGAAUAGGGAACAUCAGUAAACGUCAGGAAAUGCCUAUGAACUAUUCUUUUGUCAUUGAACCAUUUGAUGUGUGGGGCUUUGAUUAUAUGGGACCCUUCCCAAGUUCCAAUGGGUAUACUCACAUCUUAGUUGCUGUUGAUUAUGUCACUAAGUGGGUAGAAGCUAUCCUCACUAGAAAUGCUGAUCACCACACCUUUAUUAAGAUGCUUAAAGAAGUCAUUUUCCCAAGAUUUGGAGUCCCUAGAUAUCUGAUGAUUGAUGGCGGUUCACACUUCAUUCAUGGUGUUUUCCGCAAGAUGCUCGCUAAGUAUGAUGUCAACCAUAGAGAUGCAUCUCCUUAUCAUCCUCAGUCUAGUGGUCAAGUGGAGUUGAGUAAUAGGGAGAUCAAAUUGAUCUUACAAAAGACUGUCAAAGAUCUCGAAAGAAUUGGUCUAGCAAACUUGACGAUGCACUAUGGGCUUAUAGGACUGCUUAUAAGAAUCCCAUGGGCAUGUCGCCGUAUAAAAUGGUUUAUGGUAAGGCCUGUCAUUUACCUAUUGAGCUAGAACACAAAGCUUAUUGGGCAAUCAAAGAGCUCAACUUCGAUUUCAAACUUGCCGGUGAGAAGCGGUUGUUUGAUAUCAGCUCAUUAGAUGAAUGGAGGGCCCAUGCAUAUGAGAAUGCUAAGUUGUUCAAGGAAAAUGUUAAGAGAUGGCACGAUAAAAUAAUACGAAAACGUGAGUUCAAUGUAGGUGAUUAUGUCCUGCUAUACAAUUCUCGCUUAAGAUUCUUCGCAGGCAACUUCUCUCUAAAUGGGAAGGUCCCUACGUUGUCGAGGAAGUAUAUCAUUCCGGUGCCAUCAAAAUCAAUAACACGGAAGGUAAUUUUCCAAGAGUGGUAAAUGGGCAAAGAAUCAAGCAUUAUAUAUCUGGUACUCCCAUAAAUGUUGAGACCAAUAUCAUCAAUAUCAUAACAACAGAGGAGUACAUAAGGGAUGUUUAUCAGCCUGUUUCAGACCCUGAAAACGAAGAGGUAUGUGUUUCGGUAAGUAAUUGGACUCCAAAACUUUUCCAGUAGGAAAUUUUCUCCGUUUUAGAAUUUAUGAAAAAAUAGAAAAAUAAAAAGUAGUCCGGAGAGCGCACGAGGCGGCCACAAGCUUGGUAGCCGCGGCCUCCCCCCUGGCCGCGGCUACAGGGCUUGUGGGUACCUCGUGUGCCUCCCGGACUCCGUUUUCUUGCGGAGCACUCCUUCUGGUCCAGAAAAAAUCAUUAUAUUAUGCCCGAGGGUUUUGAUCUCCGUAUCAUGUAGUUUUCCUCUGCUUUCGUUUCGAGCCUGUUUCUGCUGCAGAUCUAGACUGCUAUGGCUUCCCCAAAAUCUUCGAAGGACAAGGUCUUUGAGAAGGUUAUCAAUCCUUACCUCGCGGAAGUGUUGCAGCACCCUCAAUCUAUCAAGAUGAGUGAGGGGAUGUUGCACAUCCGCGAUGUUGAGGGGCCUAAGAAGACCGGAAGCGUGGAGACGAGGCUCGAAGCAAUGGAGCAACAAGUCCUCAAGUGCCAAGGGAUGGUGGAGCGUGGACUCAAUGCCAACCACAUGAUGAUCACGGAGUACACUAACAAGCAUAAGAUGGAUGCCAAUGACAUUGGGAAGCACCUCUCCAGGCUCUAUGACAGGGAUGAUCAACUCCAGGGCCAGAUCUAUGACCUGCAGAACCAAAACUGUGAGUAUGAGUAUAUAUUUAAAUCAAUACGGUUGGCUGCAGAUUUGAGGAUUCUCGCGACUCGUUCAUCCUGCCAUGAUGGAGCACCUAUGCCUUGGAAGACGGAGGAUCAAACUCAUGUUGCAACUCCUCCACCACCACCAUCAAAGGAAGACAACUGAGAAUUGGUAUGGGCAAUCCCCUUGGCUUGUGCCAAGCUUGGGGAGUUGCCCUGGUAUCAUAUCACCUUUUUAUCUUUUGCUUUUACCUUUGUUUUAGUUCUUUAUUUUUCAGUUUUAACUUUCUUUUCUUAGUGGGAUAAGUCUUUAGUGUUUAGUUUGAGUCUUUUUCCUUGUGUCUCCCCCGAUGUAUUCGAGGUUGCGAGCUAUAUAAGAAAGAGUAUCUUAGUCAAGGGCUUUGUUUUGUGCCGUGAUCAAAAGUACGAAAAGAACGAUAGCAUGAAAGAUCAUGAGAUGAUCUUAUGGAAAGUGAUAGCUUCACAUAUAACAAGUAUGAUGAUUGAAACUUGUUGAGAAUAGACCAACAUGGACCCCAGUCAUUGUUGCAAUUAACAAGAAGUAAUAAGGAAAGAGAGGUUCACAUAUAAAUAUAUCAUCUUAGACACUUUUUACAAUUGUGAGCACUCACCAAACUAUUACAUGCAUAGAAGUAGAUGUUGGACAAGAAAGACAACAUAACGAAUUGUGUUUGCUUGAUCCCAAACAAUGUUAUAUGUCUAGAGACCCCUUAGCAUGUGACGAUUGCUUCCACCUCAUAUUAGCCAAAACUCCCGCACCAAGUAGAGAUACUACUUGUGCAUCCAUAAACCUUCAAACCAGUCUAGCCAUGAGUGUCCACCAUACCUACCUAUGGAUUGAAUAAGAUCCCUCAAGUAAGUUGUCAUCGGUGCAAGCAAUAAAAAUUGCUCUCUAAUAUGCAUGAUCUAUUAGUGUGUGGAAAAUAAUAUUUAUACGAACCUAUGAUGAGGAAGACAUAAAGGCGACAGACUGCAUAAUAAAGUUCUUUAUCACAGGAGGCAAUAUAAAGUGACGUUCCUCCGCACUAAGAGGACACACAUCCAAACCUCAAAAGCGCAUGACAACCUCUGCUUCCCUCUACGAAGGGCCUAUCUUGUACCUUUACUUUUGUCCUUGUGAAAGUCAUGGUGAUCAACACCAAUUCCCUAUUCCGUCUUCAUCUUGGUGAACGUCAUAUGCUUGGGAAAGAUCUGUAUUCAUAUAUCAAGUUGGAGAUGAGUACUUAUGCUUUAUUAUUGUUGACUUUACCCUUGAGGUAAAUGGUUGGGAGGCAAAAUUAUAAGCCCCUAUCUUUCUUUGUGUCCAACUAAAACUUUGAUGCCAUGAGUACCACGUGAGUUGUAACAAUUGUGGAAAACAAAAGAGAUGAUUGAGUAUGUGGAUUUGCUUUACAAGCUCUUAUUUGACUCUUUCUGAUGUUAUGAUAAAUUGCAAUUGCUUCAAUGACUAUGGACUGUUGUUGGCUACUUCUCGGUAAGGUUUUUGAUUCAUACUUUGCUUUGUGAAGGAAUUGUUACUUUCCCAUAAGAAUCUUUAUGAUGUAUUGCUCUUCUAUGUGUGAUCAUGAUGCCCUCAAGUCUUUAUUAUGUUUUAUCGAAACCUUCAUCCCUAAACAUGUGGACAUAUUUAUGGAUCUUGGUUUUCGCUUGAGGACAAGUGAGGUUUAAGCUUGGGGGAGUUGAUACGUCCAUUUUGCAUCAUGCUUUCAUGUUGAUAUUUAUCGCUUUAUGGACUGUUAUUAUACUUUGUGGUACCAUACUUAUGCCUUUUCUCUCUUAUUUUGCAAGGUUUAUUUGAAGAGCGAGAAUACCGGUAGUUGGAAUUCUGGACUGGAAAAGGAGCAAGUCUGAGUCCCCUAUUCUGCGCAACUCCAAAUGCCCUGAAAAUUAACGUGGAAUUUUUUGAGAUUAUAUAAAAAAUAUUGGGCGAAAGAAGUACCAGAGGGGAGCUGCUAGGGCCCCACAAGCCUGGUAGCCGCGACCUACCCCCGUGGCUGCGGCUACAGGGCUUGUGGGAACCCUGGUGGACCACUCGCCCCCCUCUUCUGCUAUAUGAAGGGUUUCGUCCGAAAAAAAAUCGAGGAGGAGCUUUUUCGUGGAUUCUCCGCCGCCACGAGGCGGAACUUGAGCAGAACCAAUCUAGAGCUCCGGCAGGACGAUGCUGCCGGGGUAACUUCCCUCCUAGAGGGGGAAAUCGUCGGCAUCGUCAUCACCCAAACUCCUCUCGUCGGAGGGGAGUCAUCUCCAUCAACAUCUUCAUCAGCACCAUCUCCUCUCCAAACCCUAGUUCAUCUCUUGUAACUAAUCUCCGUCUAGUGACUUCGAUUGGUACUUGUAAGGUUGCUAGAAGUGUUGAUUACUCUUUGUAGUUGAUGCUAGUUGGAUUACUUGGUGGAAGAGUUUAUGUUCAGAUCCUUUAUGCUACUCAUUACACCUCUGAUCAUUAUUAUGAUUAUGCUUUGUGAGUAGUUACUUUUGUUCCCGAGGACAUGGGAUAAGUCAUGCUAAUAGUAGUCAUGUGAAUUUGGUAUUCGUUCGGUAUUUUGAUAUGUUGUAUGUUUUUUUUCCUCUAGUGGUGUUAUGUGAACGUCGUCUACAUAACACUUCACCAUUAUUUGGGCCUAGAGGAAGGCAUUGGGGAGUAGUAAGUAGAUGAUGGGUUGCUAGAGUGACACAAGCUUAAGCCCCAGUCUAUGCGUUGCUUCGUAAGGGGCUAAUUUGGAUCCACUAGUUUAAUGCUUUGGUUAGACGUUGUCUUAUUUCUUCUUUCAUAGUUGCGGAUGCUUGUGAGAGGGGUUAAUCAUAAGUGGGAUGCUUGUCCAAGUAAGGGCAGUACCAAAGCGCCGGUCCACCCACAUAUCAAACUAUCAAAGUAACGAACGCGAAUCAUAUGAACAUGAUCAAAACUAGCAUGGCAGAAAUUCUCGUGUGUCCUCGGGAGUGUUUUUCCUCCUAUAAGACUUUGUUCAGGCUUGUCCCUUGCUAGAAGAGGGAUUGGGCCACUUUGCUGCACCGUUGCUAUUACUNNNNNNNNNNNNNNNNNNNNNNNNNNNNNNNNNNNNNNNNNNNNNNNNNNNNNNNNNNNNNNNNNNNNNNNNNNNNNNNNNNNNNNNNNNNNNNNNNNNNNNNNNNNNNNNNNNNNNNNNNNNNNNNNNNNNNNNNNNNNNNNNNNNNNNNNNNNNNNNNNNNNNNNNNNNNNNNNNNNNNNNNNNNNNNNNNNNNNNNNNNNNNNNNNNNNNNNNNNNNNNNNNNNNNNNNNNNNNNNNNNNNNNNNNNNNNNNNNNNNNNNNNNNNNNNNNNNNNNNNNNNNNNNNNNNNNNNNNNNNNNNNNNNNNNNNNNNNNNNNNNNNNNNNNNNNUGCACCGUUGCUAUUACUUGUUACUUGUUACUUUUCACCCGCUACGUUUCACCUCACUACACCAUCACUUGUUACCGCUACUUUCAGUGCUUGCAGUUAUUACCUUGCUGAAACCGUUUAUCAGAGCCUUCUGCUCCUCGUUGGGUUCGACACUCUCACUAAUCGAAAGGACUACGAUUGAUCCCCUAUACUUGUGGGUCAUCAUAUGGGUUCCACUGAAAACACCAAGCUGUGUGACUUCACUAGCCACAACAACUAUGAUUUUAUCUGCAUUCCUAUUGCUGCUCUCGCCAGUGGAGCCACGCCCUAUGAGAUUAAACCUGCUUUACUGAACCUAGUUAUUAAAGAUCAAUUCUCUGGUGCUGGAGAUGAUGCUGCCUGGCACUUGAACAAUUUUGUUGAGCUUUGUGAUAUGCAAAAAUAUAAAGAAGUAUAUGGUGAUACUGUUAAACUUAAGCUUUUUCCCUUUCUCCUUGAGAGGAGGAGCUAAUGUGUGGCUUCAAUCUUUGCCUAGGAAUAACAUAGAUUCUUAGGAUAAGUACAAAGAUGCUUUUAUUGGGAAGUGUUAGCCGCCUGCUAAGAUUAUCUAGUUGAGGAGUAACAUUACGAAUUUUAGACAAUUGGAUAAUGAACAUGUUGCUCAAGCUUGGGAACGUAUGAAAUCUUUUGUUAAGAAUUGUCCUACACAUGGUUUGACUACUUGGAUGGUUAUCCAAACUUUUUAUGCAGGAUUGAACUUUACCUCGUGGAAUAUGUUAGACUCGGCCGCGUGAGGAACAUUUAUUCAACUACACUUGGUGCUUCCACAAAGCUACUGGAUGAGAUGAUGACAAAUUAUUCUCAAUGGCACACUAAGAGAGCUCCAACAGGUAGGAAGGUAAACUCUAUUGAGGAGAUCUCCUCCCUUAAUGAUAAGGUUGACAUGAUCAUGACUCUACUUACUAAGCAAGCUCCUAUUGAUCCUCAUGAUGUUCCUUUAAAUUCUUUGGUUGCUCAAAAAAGAGAGCAAGUUGAUGUUGAUUUUAUUUCUAGGAACAAUUUUAAUAACAAUGCUUAUAGGAGUAAUUUUGGUUUCAAUCCUAGACCAUUCCCAUCCAACAACUAUACGAACAACAACAAUUAUCCUAGCACCAAAAACUCCACUUCCGAAUUAGAGAGAAUGCUUAAAGAUUUUAUCACCUCUCAAAAAGCCUUCAACAAGAGUGUAGAAGAGAAACUAGAAAAAUUAGAUAGUCUCUCUUUGAAGGUGGACAAUAUAGCUCAUGAUGUAGAGAUGCUUAAAAUUAGAAACCCCCCCUUGAGGAAAGGAACACCACACCCAUGAAUGCUAUCCAAGUCCAAAUUAAUGAGAACAUAAGAAUGCUAGCCAAACUUAAAGAGAGAUGGGCUAGACAAAAGUAAGAGGAAGAGAGAAUUAAGAGCCUUCCUACACACACUACCAUUGCUACUAUACAAGUUGUUGAGGAUCUCAAAACUUUUAGCACCCAUCGCAGUCCUAGUCCCGAUGGACCUAUUAAUGGUGAUGUUAAUACCUCAACCAUAGGACAAGAAUGUCCUUUGAAUUUAGAGACUACCAAAAGAAUGAGCUUAGAUGGCAUUACCACCACUUUAAUUAAUGGUACUAAUCUUGAUUUUGACAAUUGUAGUCUCUCCGAAGUCAUCACCUUUUUUUUUUUGCAAAGAAUGGCUAAAUACCCCCACACUACUACACUCAAUAUUGCCUUCACCGAGCAUAUUACCAAUGCUAUUACCAAAGCUAGGGAGGAGAAGCUCAAGUUAGAGACUUCUAUUCCUAGAAAACUGGAACAUGGUUGGGAUCCUAUGGUCAAAAUUAAAUUGAAUAAUAUCUCUUGCUUUCCAUUGUGUGAUGUUGGAGCUAGUGCUUCUGCGAUGCCCAAAAGAAUGUAUGAUAUGCUUGAUUGGAAACCUUAUGAUCCAUGUUCUUUUGGAGUUCGUCUUGUUGAUUCUUUCAUAAAGAAACCUUUAGGGAGAACUGAUGAUGUCCUUAUUACUGUUAAUGAUAAUUAUGUGCCCGUUGAUUUUCUUAUCAUGGACAUUGAAUGUAAUCCUUUAUGUCCAAUUAUUUUGGGACAUCCUUUUCUGUGCACCGUUGGUGCUAUCAUUGACAUGAAAGAAAGAAUUAUUAAAUUCCAAUUUCCUCUUAAAAAGGGAAUGGAACACUUCCCUAGAAAUAAGAUUAAGUUACCUUAUGAGUCCGGUACUCGGGCAAGUUAUUCUUUUGGAGUUGAUAACACUUGAUGUUCUUGCAUUACGCAUAGCUCAAAGGCAUAGAAGAAAGCGCUUGUUGGGAGGCAACCCAAUUUGUUUUUACUUUCUGCUUUAGUGGUCUUGAUGCUUGUUACUACUGUAGAAACAUCAUUGUAUCUUUAUUUUUAAGCUUUGUGCCAAGUUAUAGCCUCCGAUUGCAAGAAAGUUCAAAAAUUGUGACAUGCUGUCCAAAAACAGAUUCUGUAUGCUUGACGGAAAAAUUUGCCAAAAAUCACCAGAUCAUCUUUUUGAUCUGGAUUUUCUGAAAGCAAGCUCUGUAUAAUUGUGUUUAUGUCAUCUGUUCUGAGUUUUCUUGAUUUGAAUUGCAGAAGUGCCCCAAAUAAAUUAUUUACUACCUGUUGUUCUGUUUUUCACAGAUUCUGCCAUGUUCUGCAAAUCCUAAGCUUACUUUUUAUAUGCAAAAACCUUUGGGAAAUCACGAGAAGCAGUAGGUUUUCAUGAAAAUCUUUAUUUCCAGUUGGUAAUGAAUUAUUUUAUUAAGGGUACUAACCACUCUAAUUAGCUUAUGAUGAGUUUCAUAUGAAGGGAGUUUUCAAGUAUGCGAUGUGAGAUGAUGAAAGACGAUACAAGAGUGUCAAGCGCUCAAGCUUGGGGAUGCCCCCAUGCACCCCAAGAAAUAUUCAAAGGAGACUCAAGCAUCUAAGCUUGGGUAUGCCCCUGUGCAUCCCCUUCUCUAUCAACAAUCAUCAGUUCGUCCAUCUCCAUGCUAUAUUUGUAUCACUUCAUAUGUUAUGUGCUAUACUUGGAGCGUCCCGCUCUUUACUUUUUAGUUUGCUUUAGUUUUGCUUGCUGGUCAUAACAAGUCGGAACCUAGCCUACCUUGUUUGGGAGAGAAACACACUCCAUUCCACUCUAGAACACAACAUAGGUUUUCAUGCUUAUCUUUUUUGUGUGUCCAUCAUCUUUCUAUAGCUACUGUCAUGCUUAGCUCUUAGUUUUCAUGCUUAUCUUUUUAAGAGAUAUUAUUUAGGUUUCUUUUGGAACUCUCUUGAGUUAUCAUGCUUAUCUUGUUUAGAGAGUUGGCUCGUUGCAUUGAGUUGUGUGUCUUGCAUGAGUAGGUAACUCAGGUUGCUAUUUAAGUAUAGUAGUAACUUGCAAUAGUUUUGAUGUAUUGAUUUGAGUAAUGUUUGGAUUAUUUGUGCCAAGAUCUUAAGUCUAUUAGUGAUAGGUGUCGCAUUUUGGGAAAUCCGUGUGUUUUUCAAAAACUAAAAAUUAGUUGAGAACUCUAGCUACUAAAUUGAUCGCUACCCUCUAGAGGGGUUGUAAUAUAUAGAGUACCCUCACGUUACCACGGGUUGAGGAUGCGCAAGGAUAACGAAACCCCCAAACACUCCUCCUCGGGGUACUUGUCUCUUUGUGAAUUUCCUAACGAGAUAGAGAGUUACCGAUAAUAAGUGUAUGAGUUCUUCAUACUAAUGUGAGUAUUCGAUUGUUGGCACUUCCACCAUCCAUAUUUUGCUAGCCUCUUCGGUACCAUGCAUUGCCCUUUCUCACAUUGAGAGUUGAUGCAAACUCCGCCGGUGCAUCGAAACCCAAGACAUGAUACGCUCUGUCAUACAUAAGCCUCAUUAUAUCUUUCCUCAAAACAUCCACCAUACCUACCUAUUAAGGCAUUUCCAUAGCCUUUCCGAGAUACAUUGCCAUGCAACAUCCACCAUCCCAUGACUUGAUAUUCAUGUCAUACAUGCUUUUGCUAGAUCGAGGAGUCGCAUGAUGGUUGUGCCUUGCCCAAAUUAUUGCUAGAUGACGCGCUAGUAUCAUUGCAUAUCUGCUACACUCGUAGAGGUAUACAUUUGCAUACAUCAUGAUAGUUUUCACUUAUCUUUAUGUUGAGUACUUCUUAUAAAGUUUGAUGAUUUUUUAUUUUUAUUCAUGUAAAACAUAUAGUGUUGCCCUUAAGAGAGGACAAGAUCCCAAAGAGGACAAAUUAAAAGAUCCUAAAGAGGACAAAUGAGAGAUAAAAAGAAAGAGCCGAGGAGGCCACAAAAAAUAGAAUAAAAAGGGAAAAAGAAAAAAAGAGAGAAGGGGGCAACACUACUAUUCCUUUUGAAAGAUCCACACUCGUACUCCAUUUCUAUAUUUGUACUACAUAGAGAUUAUCAUUAAUGCAGAACUAUGUGAGGACCCUUACAUUAUAGAACUUGGUUUGCAUAUUUCAAUGAUGAGCCUCCUCAAAUGAGCUCUAGGUCUUCAUGAGAAAACAAGUUGGAUGUACCACCACUAGUUCCAUUGGAGAGCUUACCUUAGCUCAUAUGUGCAUCCGUUACAUGGCAGUCCCUACUCCUCACAUCAUAUCUAUCAUUUGGCUUUCUCUCGUCUAUGGUUGUCCUCAUUGAUGUGAGCCUUUCACACCUUUUUUUUUCUUCCUUCCCCAUUAUUAUUCUAUUUGCCAUCCUAAGUGCCAACAUAUCUUGCUUACGCUCAUCCAUUGCAUGAGUACUCAAAUUCGAAAGAGAGAGGAUCAUUUUUACUUGUGCCUGACUAAUGGUUUGGGGAUGAGUCAAAAUAAGAUUCCAAAGGAGACGAAGUGUGAAAUUUUAGUAGAUUGAGUUCUCAAUUAAAAAAAUAUUUUAUGAUCUCAACCCAUCUCACACUUCUUGCACGCAAACACCAUUUGGAGACAUUCGAGUCACGGACAGCGAGAGCUCUUGGACCUUUAUGUUCUUACUUUACUAAGCUCAAUACUAGAUAUAGACUCUUGCUUGUUAUUGUCUUGACUUGAAUUGCAUAUCUCAUUUGCUUUACUUUGAAGAUCUUAUAUGUGUGUUAGCAUGUCACCACAGAAAUUAAUGUGUUAUCAUUUAUCUACUCAAGGAUGAGAAGAAAUUAAGCUUGGGGAUGUUGAUACGUCCCAAACGUAUCUAUAAUUUCUGCUUGUUCCAUUAUCUUUUGGGUGACAUUGUUAUAUGUUUUGCUACACUUUUAUAUCAUUUUACACAUAUUUGGACUAACCUACUAACUCAGUGCACCUAGUGACAAUUUCUGUCAUCUGAUGUCUAUUUUGCAGGGGCUUUUACCCAAUUUUCCGGAGCCCGAAAAACUCCAAGAAAAAAAUAUAAAAAAUCAGUGAAACAAAAGCUUCUGGAUCACCAAGAUGGGCCAGAGGGGGGCCAGGGGCUGCCCAGGCGACCUGGUGGCACGGCCAGGCCCUAGGCCGCGCCAGGAGGCCGCCUGGGUGGGCCCCACCUCCUCCGGUGUCCUCCUUGGGCCUAUAUUUAGAGGACCGAGAGGAAACCAUUCCACAACUUCCAGAAUCGCGAAUUUGUCCAUCGUUCCACCACCGCAACUCUUCCGUGAUCGGGAGCGUCAGGAGACCUCUUCCCGGCACCCUGCCGGAGGGAGGAUUGACCUCCGGGAGCUUCUCCACCGCCAUGGAGGCUUCCCGGACGUGCCAUGAGUAGUUCUCCUUGGACCAUGGGUCCAUGACCAGUAGCUAUGUGAUGUCUUCUCUCUAAUCUUGUCCUUCAAUGGUUAGUCCUUGUGAGCUACCCUACAUGCUCAAGGCAUCUAUGUAAUUCUCUUGCUAUUGCUAUGCUCGUUUGUUGGGAUCCGAUGGAUUAUGAGAUUAUGUUCAGAUUGUUAUGAGUUAUAUAUUUGAUUAUCCGUUUAUAUUAUGUUCCUUAGUGAUUCAUGCAUGUUCUCCGUUGCUAUUUAUUGCUUUGGUCGGGUAGUAGAUUGUAACUCCAAGAGGCAGCGUUAUGCAUGAUUGUGGGUUCAUGCCCCUCGAUGUCUAGCUUGAGUGACAGAAACAUGAGACUAGGGGAUGUGUUGUUGCCACCAGGGAGAAAACAAUGGUGCUUUUGACCACGGUUGCAAGGAUUGUUUACCUUAUGAAUAGUUCGUUAAUGCAGUUGUCCAUUGCUUUGAGUUUACACUUUGGGUGGGGCUCGCAACUUAAUACCGGAGAGAUGUUCUGGAUAGAUAUCUCAAGGUGGAUGAUUAGUAAGUAGAUGCUGAUGAAUAAACGGUCUACUUGUAUUGGCGUACUACCCAUUACUAUUGAACCUCUAACUAUCAAGUAGCAUAAUUAGCAGUGCGGUGCGUUCAUAAUUCCGUCAAUUGACCAACUGUGAUUUGUUUACCCAAGCAUAGUUGUUUAUCGUCUUUUGGGGGAGAGACUUCACUAGUGAACAUCAUGUGACUCCGGUCCAUAUCACCAUCAUUGUUUACACCUCCAUCAUUUACCACUUUCAUUUACUUCUCCGUUGCUAUCACUAUUACUUUCCCGCUUGUGUUUUGAUCCUUUGCAAAUUACAAGGCCGAAGAGAUUGACAACCUCUCUGUACUCGUAGGGAGCAAAGUUAUUUUUUGUGUGUGCAGGUCCACGUCUUCUUCUAGCGCCAGGGUGGAAUACACGUACUUGUUGAUCCUAGGAGUCCUCCUGGUUCGAUGAACCUUACAGUUCCCGUGUGAGGGAAAACUUGCUGCUGACUACAUCUCAACCUUCCACUUGGGGUAACCAACGGGGUGUGAGAAGUAUAAACAUCAUCUUGUCAUCACCCACACGUAUGUUACUUAUCAUAGUCCUAAACUUUAUAAUGUAUUAGGUUCUCGAUCUCCACCAGUUAACUUUUUCAUGCCUUCCAUCGCAAAAAUAGAAAAAAAAAUCUUCACGUGUGCCACAAUGUGACGAAGGCUUGAACAUUUUAUAGGGACGAAUGAAACAUUCGCAAACAUCGCUAUUUUUUUGCUAGUAAAUACCGCUCCUCUUCUAGCCCCGCUCCGAUCAUAGCGCCCCCUGCGGAUAGGAAGUCCUGCUACGACAGCCACUCCUCUACCGAUACAUCCAUGUGUUCUUGGGUGCUUUGUCACCCAUGGUGUUGUUAGAUCCCACGUUUGAUCUUGGUUUGGCCUUUGAAUCAUACAUAUGGAAGCAAAUGCACGCUAUCCAUCAACAACUCUGAAGAUCGUCAAUGGGGGAAAUUAUUUAUUUUACUUGAGUUUUCUAGAUCAAUGUUGCGCCUUAAUCAAGAAUCCGGUGGCACUAUUCGCUGGGCAUGCUUUGGGGCAAUGCUUCACGUUUCAAGGUAUCUGUUCUUCAAAAUUUAUCUUUCAAAUUUUGUUUAUCAUCCAAAGAGGUUGGCUUUGAAAUCAUUGUGGAGCAAAUAUUUCCAAUGAUACAUUUAGUAAAGGCUUCCUGUUUUGAUGUCCGGAAGAUCCAGAGUUAAAAGAGGGUUUUCAUGAGUAUCAAUGUUCUGCUAAUCAAGAUUGGACGAUGUUCUCCAGAUCAACUUUUUUGAAAACCUUAUGUCGAUGCCGCUAAAGAGCCUUCUUUUUUACAAUUAUUUUAAAAUGCGACAUGUGCUCAUUCCCAACUCAGAUCAAUGUUUGAACGUCUUGAUGCAAUUAAUAAGUCAAUUUCAUUGGUCUUAACUGACCCCAAUAGAGGUGCUUUGGGGGAGGCGGGAUGGGUUGGCGUUCAAAAUUUUGGAUCGUCCACCUCUCGCUCUCGGCAUAUUGCGAAUGGCGAGGCCAAAUCCCAUCCCGCGGAUAUUUGCGGUCUCUUCUUUCACUAGGAGGGCCAAUUGCACUAAGAAGAUUCAUUAUCAGACCUCCGACAGAUGGGGCCACAUUUCAGUUAGUUGUUGGUUUAGGGGAGGAUUAAAGUUGCCUCUUUGCCUACCAAUUCAUGAAUUACUAAUCACUCGGAAAUCAUGCCCUUUUGAUAAAUGCUCGUAGUUAACGUUCAACGCUCUUGUUUGGGAUGGUUGCACGGGGUGGGGGUUGCACAUGAGUCUUCUCCACUCGCAACCACAAGCA
RNAcentral lists this long non-coding RNA (37050 nucleotides) under Hordeum vulgare. RNAcentral's name for it is "long non-coding RNA (HVUL_LNC001515)". Lineage: Eukaryota; Viridiplantae; Streptophyta; Magnoliopsida; Poales; Poaceae. The record is from RNAcentral.